UGAAGCGGCAAAAGCUCAAUUUGAAUCUAGCACCUUUCGGUGGUUCGAGUUGUAAUUUGAAGAUGGUAACCUUGGGUUUGGCUCUUGUCUAUGUUCCUUGGAACAGGACGUCAUAGAGGGUGAGAAUCCCGUCUGAUGAGAUGCCCAUUCCUAUGUAAGGUGCUAUCGAAGAGUCG
This 176-nucleotide ribosomal RNA is filed under the name uncultured Wickerhamomyces. RNAcentral's name for it is "partial 26S ribosomal RNA". It matches the Rfam family "Eukaryotic large subunit ribosomal RNA", at positions 94 to 267 of the family's 3401-position model. Lineage: Eukaryota; Fungi; Ascomycota; Saccharomycetes; Phaffomycetales; Phaffomycetaceae. The record is from RNAcentral.